GACCCCAUCGUCUAGUCAGGUCUAGGACACCAGGUUUUCAUCCUGGUAACAGGGGUUCGAAUCCCCUUGGGGUCG
Molecule: transfer RNA, 75 nt
Filed under: Planctomycetota bacterium
Lineage: Bacteria; Pseudomonadati; Planctomycetota
Also listed under: 1 other name
Description: tRNA-Glu
Rfam family: tRNA
About the family: Transfer RNA (tRNA) molecules are approximately 80 nucleotides in length. Their secondary structure includes four short double-helical elements and three loops (D, anti-codon, and T loops).
Source: RNAcentral